GAACCAAAAUCAAGAGUCAGCCACCUAACUGACUGAGCCAACCCAGGUACCCCUAAAGAGGAAAUUGGAAGCGACGGUACUGAGACAAUAGUUGCUUAUCCAACUGCAUGCAUGUGGAUCACACACAGUGACGAUGGAUCUGUGGACUGGGACUUGUAUAAGUGAUGCAAGGAAUUGCUGUUGUUGGCCAGUGAAGUCUCCUCCAUUGAUGAAUGAAGCCCCAGCAAGUCUGAUGCAUUGUUUACUGCAAGCAGCCAUCUUGGCAGCUCAGUGCCAUGAACCACGCCCUUGGAAGUGUCUUACCAUGAGUCAAAGAGGAAGCUCUAUACUGUUUAAAAAAAUUAACAAGACUGUUUUCCAAGAUGAUCCAUCAAAUCAUCUGGCUCUGCCAAGACAACAGACUUACUAAUCUAGUUUUAAGCGCUAAUCAAAACAACCAAGGUAGCAUGACAUCCCUGGCAAUAGUUUCUGACUUCUGACUAAUUCCACAUCUACAAUGGGUUAUAAAUCAAUCUCUGUAUUACAUUGAGUAAAGCCCAGCUACUUGGGAAAGUUAAAAUUAACACAGCUUUACAAAAGAAGGUUAGCUCUUUAAAAAAAAAAAAAAAACAAACCUUAAAAUUUAAAAUUUUAGAUUUAUA
Canis lupus familiaris (dog) is the source of this 641-nucleotide long non-coding RNA. RefSeq lists it as uncharacterized. The record is from RefSeq and is a predicted model, not a curated record. The transcript is spliced from 2 exons. Lineage: Eukaryota; Metazoa; Chordata; Mammalia; Carnivora; Canidae.